GAUGAAGAACGCAGCGAAAUGCGAUAAGUAGUGUGAAUUGCAGAAUUCAGUGAAUCAUCGAAUCUUUGAACGCACAUUGCGCCCUUUGGUAUUCCAAAGGGCAUGCCUGUUCGAGCGUCAUUUGUACCCUCAAGCUUUGCUUGGUGUUGGGCGUCUUGUCUCUAGCUUUGCUGGAGACUCGCCUUAAAGUAAUUGGCAGCCGGCCUACUGGUUUCGGAGCGCAGCACAAGUCGCACUCUCUAUCAGCAAAGGUCUAGCAUCCAUUAAGCCUUUUUUUCAACUUUUGACCUCGGAUCAGGUAGGGAUACCCGCUGAACUUAAGCAUAUCAAGAAGCGGAGGA
This 341-nucleotide unclassified non-coding RNA is filed under the name soil metagenome. RNAcentral's name for it is "partial contains 5.8S ribosomal RNA, internal transcribed spacer 2, and large subunit ribosomal RNA". The stretch from base 1 to 120 matches the Rfam family "5.8S ribosomal RNA", at positions 35 to 154 of the family's 154-position model. The record is from RNAcentral.